Long non-coding RNA from Cydia splendana, 612 nucleotides. RefSeq lists it as uncharacterized. The transcript is spliced from 2 exons. NCBI's taxonomy places the organism in Eukaryota, Metazoa, Arthropoda, Insecta, Lepidoptera, Tortricidae. The record is from RefSeq and is a predicted model, not a curated record.
GUACUCGUAAACAUGUUAACUGAAAGACUAGUGCUCUCGAGGCAAAUAUAAUUUAUGCAACUGUGAGCUGCUCUUACAUUGGGAUCAUAUGUAUUUAUUUCUAGUCUGCCUUAGCAGGCCUAGACUUCAAAGGUUUUUAGAUAUUCAUAGGGCCGUUAAACGGACCUUUUGUACACCUUGAGCAGGCUGUUUGUUUCACACUAUGAGUAAUAUAUAUUGUAAACAUAGCUUAGUUCAGAAUGGAAUCGUAAGCUCUGUCGUGUCGUGAGCUUACCGAGCCUGAUUUAAUUAGAGUCCACAGAUUAUCUGGACCUUGGAGGAUUGACCACUCCUUAUUCUAAUUAUCAAUAUUCUGCCUGGGCUUAUAGUCGAAAUUCAGCGACUAAAUUUCUUAGUAUUAUCUAUGCCGCCCAAGUUAUGAGGCUUAGCGUCUCCAGACCACAAUUUUAUUUAUAUAUUAGGUUGCAAAGAUUUUAUCAUCUUUAAAAUAAAAAUGAGUCGAGAUAGGCCUGGAAUCUUAGGUUAUUUUUUACCUUUUAUAAUUUUAGAAAUGUUAUUUUAAUUAGCCCAAUUUUGGGUUUAGCCAACAGGGUGUUCGGGACCCUUAGAAUA